GGCUAACUACAGAGACCUGAAGACUCUAGCCCAUAACAGGAAUAGGAACAGUGAAAAUCAAGUUAUGCCACUGAAAAUGAUCAUGUAUAUGAUAAAAGUUUAAUAUAAAGUAGCUUAUAUUUUAUAAAUGUAAGCUAUUUAUAUAAAAUAUGAUUUAUAUAGAAUAUGCAAAAUUUUUUAAACACAAAAAAGGAAAAACAAACCCAUCCUCUCCUACAAUUCAACAACCACAAACCCACUAAUUCAGUUUAAAAAUAGCUCAAAGGACCUGAAUGAACAUCUCCCUAAAGAAUAUGUGCAAGUCUAUGAAAGGAUGCUCGAUGCUACUAAUCAUUAGCAGAACAGCAGAAUCCCCGUCAUCUAUGACUUUACACCCAUUUAAGAUGUCAGCUGAAGACCACAAUUCAAACCAUAAAAAAGACAGUUAGCUGUUGGGGACACAACAUAAAGGUCCUUGUGCCCAGAGAUCUCCAGGAAAACCAGCAAUAUUCAGCAUAUAGGAUUGUUCUCUCAAAGGGAUGGAUGUAAUUCCCCCUCUUCCAUCCAGAAAGCUGGGGAUGUAUGGGUUUGUGCAAUUACCUACAUGUGUGCUAGAGGUCAGAAGAGGGCACUGGAUCCCGAGGGCAUGCACUUACAGAUAGCUGUGGGCUUCCAUCUGGGUGCUGGGAACUGAACCUCAAGAGCAACAAGUGGUCUCAACUGCUGUACCAUCUCUCCAGCCCAAGGGGAGCCUCCCUAGCCCCACCUGCCCACCCUGCCCAAUGGGUAUGGAGUCUCUGUUUAGCAAACAGGAAAACUUGGCAUCAUUGAGUUUGUAACAGAUUCCUACUGCUUACCCAGGCUGCACUCAAACUGAUAGGCACAAGUGAAGUUUCUACCUCCAUGUCCUGAACAGCUAAGACUUACAGUGUUGCACUGUUCAGUGUGCUUGGCUUGGGGGCUAUCACACAACAGCUUAAAGCAGAGUCGGUGCUAUUGCUCUGGACGCUGGCUAAGAAGGUGAAUGUUAUGCUGGAGGUGGGAGGAAGGUGUUAAACUGAAUUCUUGAAUAGUCCUGACCACAGAUCGUCCCCAAUAAUGUCACACUUCUCUCCAGGCGUAUGAUUCACUGGGUAAAACAUUCUGAGAAAACAGAUAUGACAUCGAUUAA
This 1150-nucleotide long non-coding RNA is filed under the name Mus pahari (shrew mouse). RNAcentral describes it as "lncRNA (MGP_PahariEiJ_G0006097.1)". The record is from RNAcentral. Lineage: Eukaryota; Metazoa; Chordata; Mammalia; Rodentia; Muridae.